RNAcentral lists this ribosomal RNA (397 nucleotides) under Pisidium sp. TS-2022_L3. Its description in RNAcentral is "partial 16S rRNA". It matches the Rfam family "Bacterial large subunit ribosomal RNA", at positions 1812 to 2484 of the family's 2925-position model. The record is from RNAcentral. Lineage: Eukaryota; Metazoa; Mollusca; Bivalvia; Venerida; Sphaeriidae.
AACAUCGCCCUUCGUAUAAUUUUAUGAGGGGUUGGACCUGCCCGGUGAUUGGUCAAAUUUUGAAGUUAUUAAAUUAAUUAGAGAUUUUUUUAAACGGCUGCAAUUAGUAGUUGUGCUAAGGUAGCGUAAUCAUUUGCCCCUUAAUUAGGGGAAGGUAUGAAUGGUUUGACGUGGGAAAAGCUGUCUCUUUUAUAUAAAAGGAAGUUUAUUUUUGAGUGAAAAAGCUUAGAUGUUUAUAAAAGACGAGAAGACCCUAUCGAACUUGAAUUAUGUAUUAUAGAUUUAUAAUAUAGAAAGUUUAGUUGGGGAAACUUAAAGUUAAGAAAAACGCUUUUUUGUUGUAAAAUGAUCCUGUAUUAUAGAAAAAUGAAAAAGUUACCGUAGGGAUAACAGCGCU